Picea glauca (white spruce) is the source of this 121-nucleotide non-coding RNA. The record is from Rfam. Lineage: Eukaryota; Viridiplantae; Streptophyta; Pinopsida; Pinales; Pinaceae.
ACAUGCCUACAACCUAGUGUUAAUGCAUUGGAUCGCAUUAGAACUCCAUAGUUAAGCGCGCUUAGGCUAGAGUAGUACUGGGAUGAGUGACCCCCUGGAAAGUCUUAGUAUUUUACAUGCC